Molecule: ribosomal RNA, 457 nt
Filed under: uncultured Streptococcus sp.
Lineage: Bacteria; Bacillati; Bacillota; Bacilli; Lactobacillales; Streptococcaceae
Description: bacterial SSU rRNA
Rfam family: Bacterial small subunit ribosomal RNA
Source: RNAcentral
CACAAGCGUGGAGCAUGUGGUUUAAUUCGACGCAACGCGAAGAACCUUACCAGGGCUUGACAUCCCCUGACCGCGUAUGAAGUACGUUUUCACCCUCGGGUGACAGGGAGACAGGUGGUGCAUGGUUGUCGUCAGCUCGUGUCGUGAGAUGUUGGGUUAAGUCCCGCAACGAGCGCAACCCCUAUUGUUAGUUGCCAUCAUUCAGUUGGGCACUCUAGCGAGACUGCCGGUAAUAAACCGGAGGGAGGUGGGGAUGACGUCAAAUCAUCAUGCCCCUUAUGACCUGGGCUACACACGUGCUACAAUGGUUGGUACAACGAGUUGCGAGUCGGUGACGGCGAGCUAAUCUCUUAAAGCCAAUCUCAGUUCGGAUUGUAGGCUGCAACUCGCCUACAUGAAGUCGGAAUCGCUAGUAAUCGCGGAUCAGCACGCCGCGGUGAAUACGUUCCCGGGCCUU